UUGUAAAAACCCACCAGAACCCAACCGGAGUAUGUCUUCUGGUUGAUUCAAAACCCUAAAAACUCUCUUGAUCUGAUCUCAACAGUUUCGUCAUCGUCCUCCCCUUGUCUGCUACUGCGAAAGAAGAAAAAUGGCGAAGUCGCAACAAGAAGCAUCGACCCUAGAAGCGGGUCCUCUACUGCUAGUCGUUCUAAUUGUCGCUCACGUCUUCGCUUUGGGCUACUUGAUUUACCGUUUAGGCACUCAGAAACAGCCCCAGAGAAGAAAGGAACACUAGUGGCAGCUCGAUUUUUUACGGCAACGUAGAAGCAGGUAAAAAAAGAAGCCCUUGUUCGUUGGUUUCUUAGUCGAAAACUUGGGUAACUGAAAUUUUAAAAAGUUGAUUGUUGUUGGGAAUUCGGCCAAACAAACAAUCAUGCAAUGCGUAGAAUAAUCAAGAACAGAAAACAAGAACGCAAGCUACACAGAUUUUUACGAGGUUCCCCAUCACGGCUCACUCUAAUUUUCACUAUGUAUCAAAUGAAGAAGUACAAGUUACAUUGGCUGUUGCGUAGCUAGUUACCGUCAGCAGCGAAGUGUGACCCAAAUCGAUUCAGGCUUCACAAGGCGAACAAUCUCAUUAUUUAUGCGUUUCGGGUCCGUGUUACAUGUGCUUAAGUAGUUACUUGUGUUUCUGAAAGUAGUUGUGGACUGUAUUUUAGAUCUUUGGAGGCUUUAUGCUUCUUAGUUUGAUGUUUUUCUUUUUGGGUUCUGGAUAUAAGGUUUUUUGAAUGGUUUGCAUUCCCGAGUUUACCUACCAUUUUUCUUGAUGAUGUUUGUUUAUAUUUCUCCUUCUACUUUGGAUUGCUAUGUAGAAACAUAAUGAAGUUAUUUGUGGGAGUGAGACACUAGCUUCCUCUGCUAGGUUCGCAUUUCAAAUUAACUCUUAUGUAGUUUCCUGUGAAUUGGCUGAAUCAUAUUUCUUUCGUAUUGCUAGGCACUCGCUUUUUCUUUCAUUGAGAGGGAAUCAAAUUAACUCCACCAUGUGGUUCUCUCUCUCUCUCUCACCAAAAAACCAUCCAAUGGGCCAAUGGGGUCAACGGUUAACUUGGUGAAAUAUGAGUAAUCUUGGGCCAUGAAUAUGUUCUCCUGUUUCUAGUACAAUAUGAAGAACAAUCGAGCAGUUGUGAUUUUGGGAUGUGUGGACUAGUGCAACAUAUUGUUCUUACUAGUGGCUGAGAUUGUUCACACUUCACAUUUUAGACCAUUCAUGUCCAACCUCUCUGGCAUGUCAUUUGGUUCCCAGUAUUUCUAGAAAUUCUGUCAAAUAGGGCAUACUCAUUGCAUUAAGAAAUUGCCUUUUCAAGGGAUUAGGUAGAGAGUGUAAGUAUUGUAUGUCUAAUUGCAGGGGUUGAUUUUGUGCUUUUUUGUUUUAAAUUGGUAAUCCUUGUCCUUCCCACCUUCACAUUUUAGUAACGCAGCCCAAUCUUUUCUCAGAGUGCAAGUGGUUUACUUAGCAUCUAUUUACCUUUGUGGUUGUAUUUGGCACUCUGACCUAAGGUGGAUAGAUGCUGAUGUAGGCUUCUGUGUUUGUGGUAUACAUAUUACAUAUCCAUAGCUAAUUACAUCGGUUUCUCCUCAAGAAAGAAGGUGCUGGUGGUUAGUAAAGUCCUACUGAGAUACUAUUUAGUGGUGGAGUGACCUUUAACUUUGGACAUUUAAAUCCACUUGAACAGUCAAGAAUUCAUAUAGCCAACCCCAAUUAAGAGGCAAAUAAGGCUUAGUAUAGCCAACCCCAAUUAAGAGGCAAAUAAGGCUUAGUUUAGAUUGGUAUGGUUUGUUAAUAGAACCAGCCUACUCCUUUGUGUGCUGAGUAUAUAACGCUGAUUUUUAUAAUUAGAAGAUCAAUUUUUAUGGCUUCUUGUAGAGCCCUUUGCCAUCUCAUUAUCCUCUUGGCAAUCAAGUCCGGCACUAUGUCUCUCUUGGAUUCUAGUUUUAGGUACUUUAAUACCUGUAUAGUUUGGAUCUAUGAAGAUCAUAUUGGUUAUUGGUAUUAUGCGGGAUAACCUAGAACCAGUAGGAUGCUUACUGACAUACGUUGAUAAUAUGUUAAGUUUUGCUAAAAAUUAGAAACAUAAGGUCCAAAAUUAAUCGAAGGCAUAGUCAGCUAAGGGAUUCAUGUUUAAUGGCAUAUGGAAAGUCCAAACCCGAGUUUACUGCCAUCAUUAAAGAAAAUACAGACCAAAGCUUAAUUGCAAAAGCAUGCUGAGCAGAGAAACAAGUCCCAUCAAGCUAACUUGAUGAUCUCUGUGUAAGUUUAAGUACUGUAACAGUUGGGGUGCCAUACGUAACUUGGUUCUGCAAAAAUUAAGACAGAAAUUUGGUAUACCUUUAUUAUACUAGUAUGCUUGCAGAUGUACCAUGCAAAGUACCCUGCCCAAUCAACAUGUUUUUUUUGGAGUAUUCCUGCUUCAUGGGUUUUGAUCCAUUUGUCUUUCUGCAAUACCUAUCUCUGUUGCGAUCCUUUGUCUAACCUUGACGCAACCUUGAAUGUCAAAUUUAUUAACAGUUAUUUAUUAGGGUAGUUUUUGAAAUUCCAAGAUGUGCAUGAAUACCAAUAAAAGAGUGAUCCUGUCGUCAUAUCUUCAUCUCUUAUGCUUUAGGCUUUUAGCUCUUAUCCAAACAUGACAGUGAGAAAAUACAUUCGUUUCUUCUCUUCUUUUUUACCCAGACAUGACACCAUAAUCAUUUUAUUUAUUUCAUCACCUAAUUCACCAACGAGUUGGUAAUUACAUGCUUGUCUCCUCUAAUAUAAUGAAUGAUUACUAUUUUCCUAUUUAGCAGUUUGCUUGAUUAUACAUCUUUAAGGUAUUUUCCUUGAAUAUACUUUCAUUCCUUCUUGUAUUAUAAAAUCUCUCCACAUCUUCUGCUUAAUUGUAGAAGCUAACUGAUAACUAUGAUUUUCUUUCACAGGAAAUCUUCAAUUCAUUUGUAGAUUGGUCCAACGUAGAUAUAAGGUUCUUAUACAAGGUGCUUUAUGAAGAAAUCACAGCUACCUUCUUUUGCUUGUAAAAUUCCUUGUGCUUAUCUGUUUCAGGUAGAUGGUUGAUAUGGAUGUCGAUGUUUGAUCUCUCUGUUAUUCAAGACAGCAUACAAAUUUUGUUCACUAUAUAUUUAGUUAGUUAGUGGUAGCUGUUGCAAUUAGCUUGUUUCGCUCUUUGUAGGAUCAGGAUUUAGUAGUUUUUUUUUAAAAAAAAAAUUGAAAGAAUAUAUAUGGCAUAUGUGCUACGGAUGUUGCAUAUGUGCCUUUCUUAA
Long non-coding RNA from Rhododendron vialii, 3294 nucleotides. RefSeq lists it as uncharacterized. The record is from RefSeq and is a predicted model, not a curated record. Lineage: Eukaryota; Viridiplantae; Streptophyta; Magnoliopsida; Ericales; Ericaceae. The transcript has 2 exons.